Molecule: ribosomal RNA, 399 nt
Filed under: Cycloramphus acangatan
Lineage: Eukaryota; Metazoa; Chordata; Amphibia; Anura; Cycloramphidae
Description: partial 12S ribosomal RNA
Rfam family: Bacterial small subunit ribosomal RNA
Source: RNAcentral
CCCCACUAUGUCCAGCCGUAAACUUUAACUUACACACUCAUCGCCCGGGAACUACGAGCAAAGCUUAAAACCCAAAGGACUUGACGGUACCCCACAUCCACCUAGAGGAGCCUGUCCUAUAAUCGAUAAUCCCCGUUCAACCUCACCAUUUUUAGUUAACCAGCCUGUAUACCUCCGUCGUCAGCUUACCACGUGAGCGAACCAUAGUGAGCUUAAUGACACUUAGCCAACACGUCAGGUCAAGGUGCAGCAAAUAAAAUGGAAAGCGAUGGGCUACACUUUCUAAAAUAGAAAACACAAAAAACUACUUAUGAAACCUAGUCGGAAGGCGGAUUUAGCAGUAAAAAGAAAACAGAGUGUUCUUUUUAACCCGGCACUGGGGUGCGUACACACCGCCCG